This 465-nucleotide ribosomal RNA is filed under the name uncultured bacterium. Its description in RNAcentral is "partial 16S ribosomal RNA". It matches the Rfam family "Bacterial small subunit ribosomal RNA", at positions 28 to 507 of the family's 1533-position model. The record is from RNAcentral.
GACGAACGCUGGCGGCGUGCUUAACACAUGCAAGUCGAACGGAAAGGCCCUGCUUGCGGGGUGCUCGCGUGGCGAAAGGGUGAGUAACACGUGGGUGAUCUGCCCUGUAGUUCGGGAUAUGCCUGGGAAAAUGGGUCUAAUACAGGGUAGGGGACAUCUUUAGUGAGAGGGUUGGAAAGUUUUUUCGGUGUAGGAUGAGCUCGCGGCCUAUCAGGUUGUUGGUGGGGUAAGGGCCUACCCAGGCGGGUACGGGUGGCCGGCCCGGGAGGGUGGACGGCCACCGUGGGGCCUGGGAUCCGCCCAGACGCCCGCGGGAGGCAGGAGGUGGGGAAUAUUGACCAAGGGGGGAAGGCCGAUGCAGCGACCGCGGGGUGGGGGAUACGGGCCUUGGGUUUGUAACCCGUUUCGCCAUGGAAGAAACCGUUUGUGACGGUACCUAGUUAAGAAGCACCGGCUAACUACGUG